Molecule: ribosomal RNA, 789 nt
Filed under: uncultured archaeon
Lineage: Archaea
Description: bacterial SSU rRNA
Rfam family: Archaeal small subunit ribosomal RNA
Source: RNAcentral
ACGGCUCAGUAACACGUGGAUAACCUGCCCUGCGGUGGGAAAUAACCCCGGGAAACUGGGGAUAAUGUCCCAUAGGCUACGGAUACUGGAAUGUUCUGUAGUCAAAAGAUUUAUCGCCACAGGAUGGGUCUGCGGCCGAUUAGGUAGUUGUUGGGGUAAAGGCCCAACAAGCCUUUGAUCGGUACGGGUUGUGGGAGCAAGAGCCCGGAGAUGGAUUCUGAGACACGAAUCCAGGCCCUACGGGGCGCAGCAGGCGCGAAAACUUUACAAUGCGGGAAACCGUGAUAAGGGAACUCCGAGUGUCCGUAAAUUCGGACUGUCCGUAUGUUUAAAAAGCAUACGAAGAAAGGGCCGGGCAAGACCGGUGCCAGCCGCCGCGGUAAUACCGGCGGCUCGAGUGGUGGCCACUAUUACUGGGCUUAAAGCGUUCGUAGCUUGGUUGUUAAGUCUCUUGGGAAAUCUAUCGGCUUAACCGAUAGGCGUCCAGGGGAUACUGGCAAUCUAGGGACCGGGAGAGGUGAGGGGUACUUCAGGGGUAGGAGUGAAAUCCUGUAAUCCUUGGGGGACCACCUGUGGCGAAGGCGCCUCACCAGAACGGCUCCGACAGUGAGGGACGAAAGCUGGGGGAGCAAACCGGAUUAGAUACCCGGGUAGUCCCAGCCGUAAACGAUGCACGUUAGGUGUAUCGAUGACCACGAGUCAUCGAGGUGCCGAAGGGAAACCGUGAAACGUGCCGCCUGGGAAGUACGGUCGCAAGGCUGAAACUUAAAGGAAUUGGCGGGGGAGCAC